Molecule: ribosomal RNA, 91 nt
Filed under: Streptomyces doudnae
Lineage: Bacteria; Bacillati; Actinomycetota; Actinomycetes; Kitasatosporales; Streptomycetaceae
Source: RNAcentral
UUCGGUGGUUAUAGCGUGAGGGAAACGCCCGGUUACAUUCCGAACCCGGAAGCUAAGCCUCACAGCGCCGAUGGUACUGCAGGGGGGACCC